UACGUAGGUGGCAAGCGUUGUCCGGAAUUAUUGGGCGUAAAGCGCGCGCAGGCGGUCGUUCAAGUCGAGUGUGAAAGCCCCCGGCUCAACUGGGGAGGGUCACUCGAUACUGAUCGACUCGAAGGCAGGAGAGGGAAGUGGAAUUCCCGGUGUAGUGGUGAAAUGCGUAGAUAUCGGGAGGAACACCAGUGGCGUAGGCGACUUCCUGGCCUGUUCUUGACGCUGAGGCGCGAAAGCUAGGGGAGCAAACGGG
RNAcentral lists this ribosomal RNA (253 nucleotides) under uncultured bacterium. RNAcentral's name for it is "partial 16S ribosomal RNA". It matches the Rfam family "Bacterial small subunit ribosomal RNA", at positions 524 to 776 of the family's 1533-position model. The record is from RNAcentral.